Long non-coding RNA from Misgurnus anguillicaudatus (oriental weatherfish), 487 nucleotides. RefSeq lists it as uncharacterized. The record is from RefSeq and is a predicted model, not a curated record. Lineage: Eukaryota; Metazoa; Chordata; Actinopteri; Cypriniformes; Cobitidae.
GUUUACUCACCUCGUUCCUCAACGGGUCGAGCUUAUAGACGUUCUGUAGCUGAUUUCUUAGCCGCAUAGCUAUCGCCAUCGGACCUUGCUCCGCCAUCUUUGGGAAUUCUGCAUACUUCCGGGUAACGGGAGAGUGGGUUUGUGGGUCCAUCAGCUCCUAUAAUCUGCACUCUUUUGAAUAGGGAAAGAGGAUUGAGGUUAUAGUCCUGUGACCCGGAUAACUGAACUGACAAACAGACAUGACCUUACAAAACAGUUUGCUGUUUUCCCACCAGGGGGCGCUAUAGAGCAGAAGAUGGAGUCUUUCGGGCAGCCUAUGCUCCAUCAUUUGGUACUUUGUUGGAAGGGCUCAUACAAGAACUAAAAGAGUGGCCAAAGACAGUCUAAGUAAUAACAACGCAGAGCCAUCUCUGGCUGGUUCAGAGUUUGAGUGACACCUUCAAUAGCAGAACCCAAAAUGACCUCUGCAUGCAGAGAGAGAUCCUGG